AGCCACAGCCAUAUCACCCUGCAGCCCAAGACUGGUUGCCCACUGAAGCUAAGCAGGGUUGAGCCUGGUCAGUACCUGGAUGGGAGGCCUCCUGGGAAAACUAGGUUGCUGUUGGAA
RNAcentral lists this ribosomal RNA (117 nucleotides) under Sinocyclocheilus anshuiensis. The record is from RNAcentral. Lineage: Eukaryota; Metazoa; Chordata; Actinopteri; Cypriniformes; Cyprinidae.